AUUUUUAUUUCUUUGGAUGAAGAAAAAGCUUAUAAUACAUCUAAAAACUUAUAACUAUGUUGUAGGUAUGUAGAGUGGUGAAUGACCCAAAACCAGCUGACGUCGCGAUAUCGCUAAAUCGAUAAAACUUGCAUUCUAUAGCAGUUCGUAACCAGCAUUUUUAAUGUAAGGUAAUAAUAUGAGAUUGAUAAGUGUAGUUUAAUUGAACGACAUUGGUAAGCUGUCUUGCCGCUGCAGUGUCUGUAAUUCUACACCGCAGUAUUUGGAAACAAAAUCUCUUUGGAAAGUGUUACGGUUGUGAAAUGGAAAAAAGGAAGGGAAAAAAGUAUCUCACAGCUGAGUAAUAUAUUUUUAGACCAUCCGAUGUAUCGCGCGGUCUAAAAAUAUGCAAAUAUAAUUAAAACCCGGGAAUCGAGCUCGAAGAAGGUGAAACCGGUUUCGAUUUGAAAUUACCCGGAGCAACAGUGUCGAUAGCAAUGACGAAAUAGAUAAAUUUCCUAUAAAAAUAGAAUUUAGAAAUAGAAAUUCAUUUGCUCUGAAAGGUUAUCUUGUACAUUACAAAUAUCGUGAUACAAUAAUACUCUGCUCUCGGAUGAGUUAACUAGUUUCAUGUGAUUUCCCACGUUAAUCUGUUGCGUUACUGUUCAGAUGAAAAUGUAUCAACGGUCAUGCGCAACAAAUAAUCGACAAUUCGUGAUAAUGAGAUUAGCGUUUAACAAUGUUACGUGGCAUGUACAUACGUGGAUUAAUAUUGAUGGCCAGCUAGAUGAGAUUAUUUCCAUCAUCCCACGCUUCAAUAUUUAAACGAGGAAAAAGAAUCGCAUGGCGCAUGCGCGGUAACGGAAAAUCUAACUUUUGUAAUCCGAAUUAAAAUAACGUAUUAUUAAUUAUAAUUAAAAUAUUAAUAAUAAUAAUAGUAAUGACAAAAUAUUAUUUUUCACUAUUUUUUCACAAAACUGCAACGAGUGCAAAAAAUAUUUACAAAGGAACGAAAUCCGGUCAAUAUUUCCAUCGUCUACUUCCUGUUAUUGGGAUUGUCGAAUCACAAAAAUAUACGAAACGUGUACUCUCGAAAAAAUCAAGAAAGAAAUAAGUGACAGUGUUAUUGAUUGAUUGUUUGAUAGUAUUAGUUUAUCAAUCAACAGACAUAAAUUCAUAACAAGAAGUUAGGUUGCAAGCCGGUGGACUGUGACGUCGGCAGACAUUGACUUUUUUGCGACUACGUAAAGGUGUGCGGAAAUAUGAUUCGAUAACUUUCUCCUGAAGCAUGCCUCGAGGUACUUUUUUUUUGAUUCACCACUGAUCUAUGGACUUUAUACAUAAUUGGAAUUGCAACUGACAAUGAGUUAUCGACCACAACAGUAGUGAUGCUACAUUCUUAAGGACUAUGUUGAAAGAACAGUGCACUGAAUAAAUUUUCAUUGUAAAAUACAAAAGUAAGAUAUUGCAUUGUUACACCGGAAGUACCUGAAGAUCGCCACAAGGCCGGCCCUGGGUCGCCAUAACAACAUUUCGAAAAACUGGUGAUUAGGAAGCUAUUAAUUCUACAACCCUGAAUUACCGACAGAGCAGCAUCUUUCCAGUCAGAUGCGCCUCCUCUCCACCCUACUUGUUUACUUUUUUUUAUAUAAGAUGGAAGUAUAAAUCAUUACUGGAUAAACAAGCUAAGUAGAUUUGAAGUAGCUUUAAAACCCUGCUAAGAAACAAUUGAAAAAAAAACACAUACAAAAAUUUAUAAAAAAUGAAAUUUAUAAUAAGAAAAAUAACUUCCGAAACAUGUAGUUACGUGUAUGCGAGGGACAGUACAUGAUUCUCAUAAUCGGUCAUUGACAUUCUAUUUAUCUACCUCUUUAACCAUAUUUUUUUGCAAAAUACUAAUCAAAUUAUUCAUAAAGGGUUAUUAUAAUAAUACACGUGUCUGUAUACGUUUGUACAGAAGUAACAACACUCUAGUGAAAUUUUUCCACACAAAUGCCGGUGCAAGAUCGAUAAAUUAAACAAAAACAAACAUACGAGGAACCCCGAAAUUUUUUCAAGGUGAUACACAAAGAAAAUAAAAAAGGCAAGUCGGUUUCCAGUGAUAUAUUGCAUGGUCAGAAUGGUCGAAUGGGAAAUCACCGGGUAUAAAUAGAGGAUGACUCGCAGUCUGGACUCGCUUGGACAUCGUUAGUCGAUGAUCAUACUUCACCACGCCAAGUAGGUAUCGAUACAUUGCGGAUCGAUGAUCCUCUAAUUACGCGUUGGUAUGGACAUUUAACAUCAGAUAUCGGGAAUUCAUCCUUGGAGCAUUGUUCUGCCGUUCCAAAUAUAGCCAAGGAUAGACGUGUCGCGUUACACUUAAACGUGUAAUACCUACGUACUUUCUGAUAAGAGCGUUUUAUACCUCCAUAAAGUAUGGCGCUACGUACAUACAUUAAACACGCGUAACGCAUUUGGUUGCUAUCUACACCUGUCGAACAAUCCGUUCGUUUUGUAAUCAUACGUUCGAACAUGAUGGUUUACUAUUCGUGCGUGAAAUUGCAAUUAAGUUCUACGUAAUACCAAUCCAUAAUGAAAGAGGAAAUAAUAGUUAAUUCAAUGAGGCUUGUCUCAUCGCAUAACCGUGGUGUUUUAAUAUGAGCACUGUUGUAGUUUUCCAUCGAAAGAGGAAAAUGAAGGAAUUAAUUGUUUCCAUAGUUUGAAAUAUUUCAAACUUGUAUUAGCGAAACCAAGGACCGAUUCUGUGAAAAAGAAAAAAAAAAAGAA
Osmia lignaria (orchard mason bee) is the source of this 2745-nucleotide long non-coding RNA. RefSeq lists it as uncharacterized. The record is from RefSeq and is a predicted model, not a curated record. NCBI's taxonomy places the organism in Eukaryota, Metazoa, Arthropoda, Insecta, Hymenoptera, Megachilidae.